UACGGGGGGGGCAAGCGUUGUUCGGAAUUACUGGGCGUAAAGGCUCGUAGGUGGCCAACUAAGUCAGACGUGAAAUCCCUCGGCUUAACCGGGGAACUGCGUCUGAUACUGGAUGGCUUGAGUUUGGGAGAGGGACGCGGAAUUCCAGGUGUAGCGGUGAAAUGCGUAGAUAUCUGGAGGAACACCGGUGGCGAAGGCGGCGUCCUGGGACCAACACUGACACUGAGGAGCGAAAGCCAGGGGAGCAAACGGGAUAGAUACCCGUUGUAAGUCC
This 274-nucleotide ribosomal RNA is filed under the name uncultured bacterium. RNAcentral's name for it is "partial 16S ribosomal RNA". It matches the Rfam family "Bacterial small subunit ribosomal RNA", at positions 524 to 796 of the family's 1533-position model. The record is from RNAcentral.